GAUAGUGAACCAGUACCGUGAGGGAAAGGUGAAAAGCACCCCGGGAGGGGAGUGAAAUAGAACCUGAAACCGUGUGCCUACAACAAGUUCGAGCCCGUUAAUGGGUGAGAGCGUGCCUUUUGUAGAAUGAACCGGCGAGUUACGUUAUGAUGCGAGGUUAAGUUGAAGAGACGGAGCCGUAGGGAAACCGAGUCUGAAUAGGGCACCUUAGUAUCAUGACGUAGACCCGAAACCAUGUGACCUACCCAUGAGCAGGUUGAAGGUGCGGUAAGACGCACUGGAGGACCGAACCAGGGCACGUUAAAAAGUGCUUGGAUGACUUGUGGGUAGCGGAGAAAUUCCAAACGAACUUGGAGAUAGCUGGUUCUCUCCGAAAUAGCUUUAGGGCUAGCGUCGACAUUAGAGAUUCUUGGAGGUAGAGCACUGUUUGGGUGAGGGGUCCAUCCCGGAUUACCAAUCUCAGAUAAACUCCGAAUGCCAAUGAAUUAUGGUCGGCAGUCAGACUGCGAGUGCUAAGAUCCGUAGUCGAAAGGGAAACAGCCCAGACCACCAGCUAAGGUCCCAAAAUAAUUGUUAAGUGGAAAAGGAUGUGGGGUUGCACAGACAACUAGGAUGUUAGCUUAGAAGCAGCUAUUCAUUCAAAGAGUGCGUAAUAGCUCACUAGUCGAGUGACCCUGCGCCGAAAAUGUACCGGGGCUAAAACAAUUUACCGAAGCUGUGGAUACCUUUAUAGGUAUGGUAGGAGAGCGUUCUAUGUGUGAUGAAGGUAUACCGUGAGGAGUGCUGGAACGCAUAGAAGUGAGAAUGCCGGUAUGAGUAGCGAAAGACAGGUGAGAAUCCUGUCCACCGUAAGACUAAGGUUUCCAGGGGAAGGCUCGUCCGCCCUGGGUUAGUCGGGACCUAAGGAGAGACCGAAAGGUGUAUCCGAUGGACAACAGGUUGAUAUUCCUGUACUAGAGUAUGUAGUGAUGGAGGGACGCAGUAGGCUAACUAAAGCAGACGAUUGGAAGAGUCUGUCUAAGCAGUGAGGUGUGAAUUGAGUCAAAUGCUUAAUUCUAUAACAUUGAGCUGUGAUGGGGAGCGAAGUUUAGUAGCGAAGUUAGUGACGUCACACUGCCAAGAAAAGCUUCUAGCGUUUAACCAUACUCUACCCGUACCGCAAACCGACACAGGUAGUCGAGGCGAGUAGCCUCAGGUGAGCGAGAGAACUCUCGUUAAGGAACUCGGCAAAAUGACCCCGUAACUUCGGGAGAAGGGGUGCUGACUUUAAGUCAGCCGCAGUGAAUAGGCCCAAGCAACUGUUUAUCAAAAAC
RNAcentral lists this ribosomal RNA (1313 nucleotides) under Staphylococcus aureus. Its description in RNAcentral is "partial 23S ribosomal RNA". It matches the Rfam family "Bacterial large subunit ribosomal RNA", at positions 486 to 1814 of the family's 2925-position model. Lineage: Bacteria; Bacillati; Bacillota; Bacilli; Caryophanales; Staphylococcaceae. The record is from RNAcentral.